Molecule: ribosomal RNA, 406 nt
Filed under: uncultured bacterium
Lineage: Bacteria
Description: SSU rRNA
Rfam family: Bacterial small subunit ribosomal RNA
Source: RNAcentral
GGCUUAGAGUUUGAUCCUGGCUCAGAUUGAACGCUGGCGGAAUGCUUUACACAUGCAAGUCGAACGGCAGCACGGGGGCAACCCUGGUGGCGAGUGGCGAACGGGUGAGUAAUACAUCGGAACGUGCCCAGUCGUGGGGGAUAACUACGCGAAAGCGUAGCUAAUACCGCAUACGAUCUACGGAUGAAAGCGGGGGAUCGCAAGACCUCGCGCGAUUGGAGCGGCCGAUGGCAGAUUAGGUAGUUGGUGGGGUAAAGGCUCCCCAAGCCUGCGAUCUGUAGCUGGUCUGAGAGGACGACCAGCCACACUGGGACUGAGACACGGCCCAGACUCCUACGGGAGGCAGCAAGUGGGGAAUUUUGGACAAUGGGCGCAAGCCUGAUCCAGCCAUUCCGCGUGCAGGAUG